CCUACGGGAGGCAGCAGUAGGGAAUCUUCCGCAAUGGACGAAAGUCUGACGGAGCAACGCCGCGUGAACGAUGAAGGCCUUCGGGUCGUAAAGUUCUGUUGUUAGGGAAGAACAAGUGCUAGUUAAAUAAGCUGGCACCUUGACGGUACCUAACCAGAAAGCCACGGCUAACUACGUGCCAGCAGCCGCGGUAAUACGUAGGUGGCAAGCGUUGUCCGGAAUUAUUGGGCGUAAAGCGCGCGCAGGCGGUUUCUUAAGUCUGAUGUGAAAGCCCCCGGCUCAACCGGGGAGGGUCAUUGGAAACUGGGAAACUUGAGUGCAGAAGAGGAAAGUGGAAUUCCAAGUGUAGCGGUGAAAUGCGUAGAGAUUUGGAGGAACACCAGUGGCGAAGGCGACUUUCUGGUCUGUAACUGACGCUGAGGCGCGAAAGCGUGGGGAGCAAACAGGAUUAGAUACCCUGGUAGUCCACGCUGUAAACGAUGAGUGCUAAGUGUUAGAGGGUUUCCGCCCUUUAGUGCUGAAGUUAACGCAUAAUAGACNCNCCGCGGUGGAGGUACGGCGACGAGAGAAGUAAAUUAAGUAAGUUAGUUAGUACGUUGNGAGNGCGACGACGACGACGAGGAGGAGGAG
Molecule: ribosomal RNA, 630 nt
Filed under: uncultured bacterium
Lineage: Bacteria
Description: bacterial SSU rRNA
Rfam family: Bacterial small subunit ribosomal RNA (bases 1-547)
Source: RNAcentral